AGCUUUCCAUGAAAAAGCCCCUCUAAUCUUCAGAACAAUCCUGUGAGAACUGGCUGAAGUUUACUUUUUGGUACUCCAGAGACCUAGCUGCUUCUUGCCUUCUUCCAGUGUGGUCUAUUUAAUCUCCUGUCUUGUGGGAAAUUAUAUUCAAAAUUUCUGUGAUCCUCUGUCCAUAGUAAGUUACGCAUGUAGUGACAAAUGCAUGCCACAAGGUCUUGAGAUUAUAUCUGCAAUGUGUUGCUGCUGGCUGUUGAUCAAGAUAGGCUGGAAGAAAAACAUUUAUCAAAUAAUUCUUCUUGCAUUUUUCCCAAGACGUUGUAGCGUAUUUAAACUUGGGAGGUGAAGUUUGUAGCAUUCAUUAUGACUGAAAAUUUAGUUCACACAAUCAUGAUGCUCUAUUAGGUGUUACCAUUAAAUAAUAUUAAAAUAC
This 430-nucleotide long non-coding RNA is filed under the name Homo sapiens (human). RNAcentral's name for it is "HSALNT0197960". Lineage: Eukaryota; Metazoa; Chordata; Mammalia; Primates; Hominidae. The record is from RNAcentral.